UACCGUCCUCACCCGGCGCCUUGUGCCUCU
RNAcentral lists this small RNA (30 nucleotides) under Bombyx mori (domestic silkworm). Its description in RNAcentral is "ovarian small RNA-20760". The record is from RNAcentral. Lineage: Eukaryota; Metazoa; Arthropoda; Insecta; Lepidoptera; Bombycidae.